RNAcentral lists this ribosomal RNA (241 nucleotides) under uncultured bacterium. RNAcentral describes it as "partial 16S ribosomal RNA". It matches the Rfam family "Bacterial small subunit ribosomal RNA", at positions 15 to 245 of the family's 1533-position model. The record is from RNAcentral.
GAUCAUGGCUCAGGACGAACGCUGGCGGCGUGCCUAACACAUGCAAGUCGAGCGGAGAACAGGGAAGUGCUUGCACGGAACUGUUUUUAGCGGCGGACGGGUGAGUAACGCGUGAACAAGCUGUCCUCCACAGGGGGAUAACACUUGGAAACAGGUGCUAAUACCGCAUAAGACCACAGGGGUGCAUGCUCCAGGGGUCAAAGGAGCAAUCCGGUGAAGGGUGCGUUCGCGUCCCAUUAGA